This 295-nucleotide ribosomal RNA is filed under the name uncultured bacterium. Its description in RNAcentral is "partial 16S ribosomal RNA". It matches the Rfam family "Bacterial small subunit ribosomal RNA", at positions 28 to 324 of the family's 1533-position model. The record is from RNAcentral.
GAUGAACGCUAGCAGUAUGCCUUAUACAUGCAUGUCGAACGAAGUGCUUUAUGCACUUAGUGGCAAAUGGGUGAGUAACACGUACUUAACCUACCUUUUAGAUUGGAAUAACCAUGAGAAAUACGUGGAUAAUACCGAAUAUGAUUUAUUUUCGUCAUGAAAUUAAUUUUGUAAAGAAGCGUUUGUCUUCGCUAAAGAAUGGGGUGCGCGACAUUAGUUUGUUGGUAGGUAAAGGCUACCAAGACUAUGAUGUCUAGCCGACGCUGAGAGCUGACCGGCCACAUUGGGACUGAGA